GUUUUUCUGAACUAGAGAUGACAUCACUAGCAUCUGGUCUUUCUCUUUGAGACAGCCGAGAGAGUGAGGUGCCGUGAGAGAUGCAAUCGAUGGGGGGUGGAGAGAGGUAGCCGACAGUGAGAAUGGUAAGGAAGAACGGAGCGUAGUGAGAUUAGUGGAUUGGUGAGGAAGAGCGUGAGGGAGAGAAUGAGAGAGCAUGUGUUGUGGUUGAGAAUGUUGCAAUUGAGAAUUUACUGUGACCUUUUAUGCUUGCCUCAAAACUCACCGUUUUGUGCUAACUGUUGUACUCAAUGUUGUAAGAAUAUCGGAACUGUUAUAAAUUUGUUUCUAAAUAGAAAACUCUUUUGUGGAGUCAAUAUUUUGAAAACCAAAGUCUCGAGUUCUUUCUCGUGCGUGCCUGGCCAGCAUCCUAAACCUUACUGGUAGCCGGAGAAUGGCGUAAAACGGCGGCGAUCUUCUUCUUCAUCUUAUUCUCUCUGUCAUCGUUUCAGGUAACCUUGUGAUUAUGAGUUUCUUCUCUUUCUUAGCUUGCAAAAAUAGGUUUUGAUUUCUUUAAUUCGUAUUGUAGCCAUUAAUAUCAAAUUUUGUCCUGCCGGCAAUAUUUUUUUGUUCCUAGAGGUUGAAGCCCUUCUGUUCUUGUUCCAUUGGUGACUUUGCUCACUCAAAUUAAUUUUGUUCUGCAGAAUUUACAAAGUUCAAAUGGAUUCGUUUGGAUUACUAUUGAAUUUAGCUUUCAUUUCAACAUUCAUUCUAAUGUUUUACAAUUAUGUAUUUAGAUUUACUUUAAUUUUAUGUUUAAAGCUUCUGCAAUGAAUAGCUGAGCUUGGGUCUUAGUUUCAUUUUCUAAUUAACUUGUUUUAGUUUAUCUUAUAUGCUCACCAAGUGCUUGUUAUAUUGUCUGAUAGGUUAUAUAACAUAGCUGAUUAUAUAAUAAUAAUGUCAUGUUCCAUUUUCAGAAAUUAUAAUAUAAAAGUUUUUACAAUGGGGUGCAUCUACAAACUGAAUUGACUUGUAGAGUAAGAGCUUGGAGUAGUGUGCAUUCUUGAAUAAAUGAAAGUUCAUAUUGUGUAAGAGCAUGUAGAUGUAAAGCAUCAUUACCAUUUCUACCAAGUGCUUUCAUUCUGUUCAGAUGCUCCUCUUGAACUUUGGAAGGUGCCUCAUUCAAGUCCUAGCUAUAACUAAUUGCUCUGAUUAAUUAAGUUCAUAUGCUAGCUGAAACAGAUUUAAUUAAUUAAUUAAUUAAUUGUGUAUGUACUAAUUAUAUUGAAAGUAUAUGAAGAAAUUGUUUAACAUGAAUGACUUCUAAAUGACUUAAAAGCCUAGAGGAUAUGUGAAAUAAUGCUCAUUUCACUUGAACGAGCCUAUUAAUACUUGUAUGUCUAUGAUUGUCAAUAUUGCUUAAGUGUUUCAGUUAAGUGGUUUACCUAGCAGGGAAAAAAAUUUAAUGGAAAACCUUAGAGUUUUAAUAGAAAUAUAGUUGACUAUGCAGAUAUAGUUAUUUUACGGUAUAUAAAUCAUGUUGUCCUAUUCUCAAUGUCCUACAACCUAUUUUAUUUUAUAUAGUCAUUCAUUUUACGAUGGUUUUUUGUGUUUAUGAGUAUGGAAAUAGUGGGAUUUGGUGUACCUUAGCAUCUUUCGAAAAUUCUCUUUAAAUGCGGCAAACAGAAAUAUACAUAUAAUCAAGUUUCUUAAUCAUGUAUAUUAGGUUUGGGUGUGAAUGUUUUCCUAUUCUAGUUCUAGGCAAAGUUUCUUCAUUUUGGUCUUCAGAUUUCCAGUAGGUUAAGCUAAUCAACUAUCAUAACUGGCUAGCUAGUUAUUGCCUGCCUUGUCGCCAUUACCGACGCCAUUACAUUGCAUGGCAUAGGGAAUAGUAACUAUGUGAUUAUUGGUGAUUUGUUGAGCUUAUUAUUGACCAAACAAACAUAUUCGCCUUUACCCACAACUUGGUUUGAUUAGUUACUGGACAAUAAAGAGCCUUAAUCUAUGCAUUGGCUUUCUUAUUUUUAUUUGGUUUUUCUUUCAACAAUAUUGUUGAUUUCUUAUAUCAUUGGCUAUUUAAUGAAGCUAAUUAAAACUAAGGCUUCGGAUCACUUUCUUCUAACAACAAACAAAUGAGGAUAACCUAUCUCCUCUAAGCAAAUUUUUCUAAUAUCCUUGAUUUGUUAGGACCUGGAGGCCUGAAAUCCUCUAGAUUUUUUUAGCACUGCCAAUGUUCCUUUUAUUCUGAAAAGGAAAAAAAGGUUAUAUCGUUUAUACCCUAACAGUAAAAUGGCCUUUGACUUAACAUGCCUUCCUGAGGAUUUGCAAGAUUCACAAGCAGCCUAGCCACCCCCCAACGCAAAAAAAAUAAAAAAAAUAAAAAACUAAUAAAAAUAAAAAAUAAAACAACCCAAAUAGGAAGACUUUGCAACAUUCACAACGUGGUUACAUUUAAGUUAUUAAUUGUGUGUGUGUGUACUAGUUAUAUGUUGAUAGUAUAGGAAGAAGUAUUUUAACAUGGAUGACUUAAAACUUAUUGCUCAGUAAACAUAGUCUGCAUCAGUGCUAGAAAAUGUAUUUAUUGUUUGUAUUUUUUAUGGUUUUGAUUAAGAAAUGAAAUGUGAAAAAAUGCUACAUUGUAUUAGGAAUAAAUUGAAGAGAUUUAUGAUAUUUAUGUGUUAUUCAAGUUUCAGAUUCAAUUUUAAACUUUUGAUACAUGCAUUGAAAGCUUAAACUCCUUUAAGAAGUUAUUGAUAGACACAUGUUUUAUUAGUGUCAUCUUUGGAUGAUAGUGAGGAUCUUAUGUCUAUUAAUAAUUCUUGAAUUAUCCAGGCUCGGACAUUUUGGUAAUGCAUAGUUUUCUAUGGUAGCUAGUACCUGAAAUUUUUUUCCCACUAAAAAUGGGCUUUUCAGUAGCUGCUCCUCAUAUUCUGGGUGCAUACUAGACGAAUGGGUGUCGUUUUGUUUUGGGAUAACACAUAAACACUCAUAUAUCUAUGUCAUGUACUUGAAGAACUAUAGGGAGAUGCUUCCGAAAUUUCUAUAAACGUAGAGGAAAACUUUAGAUACUUAAGAUUGAAGAAACUUAUGCAUUCUUGAGUGGGAUAUAGAGGACCACUUACCUUUUGUAAUAUGAAGGGAAUGUUGGAUAUAUUGAUGGGAGUGGAGGAGCUGAGUGGGAUGAAUGUAAUCGGUUAUGAUUUUGCUGAGUUGACUUGGUUUUGAGUCUUGUAAUUUUGUUUAUAAAUGGAGUACUAUCUCCAAUGUUGGUUUAUAAAUAUUGUUUCAGCUGGCUGACCUAAUUUUUUAUUUCUAGGUAACAGGCUUUAUAUAUUCGUAAUUGAUAGCCAAGUGAAGUUCUCAGCAGUGGGUGAGGAUAUUUCUUUACAGAAGGUAUUGGAAACUGUUUUUCACAUUAAUUAGUAUUGUAUACAUACUUUAAUUUCACAUCUUUUUCUCUGAUUCUUGUGGCUUUGCUUGCUUUCAUAUAUAUAAACAUUCUAAUGAGAUUAACAUAAAAUUGUAUAAUGAUUUUUUUUAAUUAUAAAUUGCGCGCACACGAAAAUAUCUUGUUUAGUAGUAGAAAUGAAGAACUAAAAUGAUUUAUUUAACUAAUUUUUCUAGUGCAUUAAAAGGAGAUAGUCAUGGACAAGAGUUGGGUUGGUUUGCCAAAUAGAUAUCCAAGUCAUAUACUGAUGGGGUUGAAAAAUUUAUAGAUUUUGCAUUUGAGAAUGUUGUUGGUGAUAAAAGAAUUUAUUGUCCUUGUAAGAAGUGUCGUAAUAUCGAUAUUUCAUUAUAAGGGAAGUGGCAAGAGACCAUAUCAUUACAAAUGGCUUUUGGUUAAAGUAUUGAAACUGGAUAUUGCAGGGUGAGCCAUCUUCAUCUUUGAAAUCUAACUAAGAAACAGGUUAGUCAUGACUCGGGUGCUGAUGAUAGUAUGGUUGGAGUGAUACACGAUGCAUCACAUAAUCAAGUGUUCAAGUUACACACAGCAUUGUUAUGUUAUGGACUAUCAGUGACUUUCUAACAUAUGCCAACUUGUUUGGGUAGAGUAUUAAAGGUAAAUAAGCAUUUCUUGUUUGCCAACAAAACACUAGAUCUAAUUGGUUGAUACAUAAUAGAAAAUUUUGUUACUGGGUUACGGUCGAUUCUUACCAACGAAUCAUAGGUUUCGAAAAUAUAGUGUCUUUUGAUAAAACUAGGGGGUAGGGAUAAGCGCCUUCUCGGUUGUCUUGAACUGACGUGAAAAAGCAGGUGAAUAAUAUAUUUACUAAGUAUAAGAUUGAAGACUUGAAAAGAGGAGAAUGAAUAAAAUGAAAGAAAUGAUAAGAUUACUUGGAAGAAGAAAAGCAUUUUUUAUGAACUAACGUAUUGGGAGUUCAACUUGAUUCAUCAUAAUCUUGAUGUCAUGCAUAUGAUCUACUUUCUUUCAUUUUCUCACCUCCCAAACAUCCAUUAUACAAUAAAGUUUUUUUAGAUUUUAUUGUUUCAUAGAAUUAUAUUUUGCAUAUGAUGAAAUAACUUAACAUUUUAGUAUUCAUUUGCAUAUAAUAAUUAUAAGUAAGAAAAAAUAUUUGUUUACAAUCACUACUAGUUUUAUUGUCGUGAUUACAAAUAAAUUGCUCAAAUUUUCUGCUUCAGCUAUCAAACCUUUUAGCUGCUUCCAGACAUGAAGAAAUUAAACCCAUAAUUUCUAGGUACAAUUGCAUUCGUAUAUGCCAUGAUACAUAUGAUAUGAUUAGAACCAAAAGGAGAAAUAAAUUUUUGGGACUUAUUGUGAUGGUGAUUAAUCUUUUUCUACCUUAACUUUGAUAAGGUUAUAAUUAAAUUUUAUAUGAUUAAAGUGGUCAAUGGUUAAAUAAAUAAAUAAAUAAAACAGAUGAGGAUGGACUAAUGAAAUGACCCACCCCGAACUCCACAAGGUGAGUCUAUGUAAUAUCGUCUUACUUGACUGAUAAUAAUCUAAUUAGUAAGGAUUUUGCCGAAAAUUUGAUAGAGUCUCCACUUUGAAUAUAACAUUUCCAACCUGCAAAUGUGUAAAACAAGCACUCUCAAAUAAAUCAGUAUACAACCAACUUCAUUGAUCAACCUCCUCAACUAUAUUACUGAAUAUUACCCAAAAUAUCUACAAAGUAUCAAAAGAUUAUAUUAUACCUACUGUUGACAUAUAUUAAACUAUUUUUAAUCACAAAAAAUAUUAAAAAAUUAUAUAAUCCAAAAAAUAAGAAAUCAAAAUGCCCUGACAAUAUAAUCUAUAUCUCCUAGUACCAUCACAUGGCCAAAUUUCAAAAUACUAUAGUUGCUAAGUCAACUGGUGUCUUGCAACCUCCUGAGGGGUGGGAGCGAAUUAUAACAAAACGGGUGAGUAUAAAACUCAGUGAGCUCGGUGAGUGGAUAAUAGUUUUUGAAAAUAACUUACCAUAAAUAAUUAUACCACUUUUAUAUAUGAUUUUAUCAAACUAUAUGUAAGAAACAUGAAUAAAUUAUUUAACCUUUGAAUCAAGUAAUUGACAUUGAAAAGAAUACAUUAAGAGGUGCAUAAUAAUCAUGGAAAUUGUAUCACAAUAUAAAAUACAUGAUUAUGAAAUUAUCACAAAACAAGUACCUAAGGGAAUAAUCUUGUCGUACCUAGAGCUCAUACGGGCAAUGCAAUGACAUAUUCUCUAGGUACUGUCAUCCUCGGAGCUAGCACCGGUAGAUCAAUGAAGUGUCAUCUUAUAUAUCUUAUCAUAUCUUUGCAUGCAUAAACUAGUCCCCAAAAGACAAAGGUGUCCAAGCACAUAAUCCAAGGCCUCUAUGAGCCCCAAAGGCCCCUAUUUCAUUUGUAUCUUAGUAACUGAAUCUUUGUUAUCAUCAUAUUUCAUGCAUAAGCGCCCAAAAGGCAAAAGUGCCUAAAUAGACGGCCCAAAGCCUCCCUGUGUGUUCAGACGGGCCCCAAAGUCCUCUCAUCUCAUCUGUAUAAUUGUAAUUGGAGGGGAAGGGCAUUGUUCAACGAGUUUGAGAACAAACUUAUAUAUAUACACACAUAAACAUUUUAAUCAUACUUUAAACUCUUAUUUCCUUUUCAUUACAUACUUUAAAUUUGAUUUUCUUUUCUUUAUAUUACUCUCAUGUAUAUACUCAAAAUCGAUAAUAAAACCAAUAAUCAUACUUUUUAAUAAUAAAUAUCAAUACUUAAAUAAAACCUAUUUCUAGAAAAUCAUUAGAUCGGAGCAUUAAACACUUAUUUCCCAAACCUGCUUUACUAUACUUUAAAAUCAUAAUAAAAUAUGAAAAAUAGGUUUUGCUUAUUUCACUCACCGUGACGAUACUCAAACUCGGCUAUCAUUAAUGUCUGCAGGAUGGGUCUCACUCACUAUUCCUCCUAAAUCAAGGAUACGACAUAAUUACUUUCCAUAAAUGUGAAAUACAACUAACUGUAUGUAAUAUACUCGAAACGAACAUCUAUCCACAAUAUGCUACUCCUAUGUCUGUAACGUUACCAAAAAUACCCCCAAAAUCAUAAAUUGUCAAACAACCCUCAAAAUCAUAAAUUACCAAACUAUCCUCUAUAAAAUAUUAUUAAAAUAUCCACAAAGUCAGAAAUUAAAAAAUUACCAUCAAAAUAUAAAUUUAUCAAAAUGCCUUUGUUGGUCAAUGGUGAUCGGGAGUCAAGUGAUGGUGGUUGGAAUGGUCAAGAUAAAUGCUUUGGACCACGCUGAAUUUAAUGGUGGCAAAUUGACCAUUUCUGGUGACAUGGGUGAUUAAAAAUUGUAGAGGGUGUCGUGAGGGAGAAAACUAAGCAGUAGUGUGCCACAAGUUCGACGAAAUCCCAUCGAAUCGAGGUGGUAGUACCAAAGCUCUUCACAUUCUUGAUUGGUGGUCUUUUAGCAGUUAUUUAGUGACCAUGAUGGUUGGGGAAUGACUAGCAUUGGUUAAGGAUUCGAUCGAUACCUUCUGUUGUCGAUAGAGUGGCCGAAAAUAGUAGUUAGCGGCGGGUGGGGUUUCAAGUCUAUCAGUUAGGUUGAUAGCUCUUCCUCUCUUUGUUUUUCUCUUCCCCUCGAUUCCGUGUCAUAACAAGUUUAAACUAGUCCAAACUCGAACCAUUUAACAAGCGUGUCAAAUUUAACAACCCACACAUUUAUUCAUGUUGAGUAAUUGAGUCGUGUCAAAUCUGCCAAUAACAAUUAUAAUAAUGACUUUUAAAACUUCAAGUCAAAGAGGAGGAUAAAAUAAUGCAUUUGAUUAAACAUAAAAUGCAUAUGUUACAACUAAUCACUAUUCAAAAUAUUAAGAGUGGAGUAGCAAAUGUCAAUUUAUUUGGUUGCAGUCAAAUUUAUCCUAUGAUAAAUAGUGAUUAUUAAAUAAUAUAUAGAUCUAUUAUAUAGUCAAUUAAUAAUAUAUAUUAAUGAAAAUUUAAAAAUAAAUUAUUUAAAAAAGUCAAACUAGGUAAUGGACUUAAAUGUGAAAAUUUAAAAUAAUUUGGAGUUAUGUGUUAAAAUAUUGAAACUUUGUCAUUUUUUAAUGUGCAAGCAAAUAAUAGGGACUAUAGACUUAAUAAACUAUUAAAUCCAUCUAAGCCACUAAGCUACGUUUAUGUUAAAUCUAAUGGUUAGUAAUAGCUAAUAAGAAAAGGACAAAAAUUGGGGUAUGAUGUCACAGGGACACCAUAGUCGGACCCAUUAUUAAUGUUUAGUACAAGUAUUUUCUGAAAUAACAACUACAUAAUUAUUAUCUUAUGUAUCUAAUGAGAUUAUUAAUUUAGUAUAUUAGCCCAAGUUAGGAACGUAAGAUUUUGUUAUUUAAUCAAGUAUAUUAAUUUAUAAAACAUUCAUUUAUUGAGAUUUUAUUGUAUAUUACAUUUGCACACUUUCUUUUUAAUGUGAAGUAAAAACUAAUGUUACACAUGAACUUAUUGCUGACAACAUUAGUACAUAAUUGCUGUCAUAAGAAAAUUUAUCAAUCCAGGAAUUUUGGAUUUUAUAAAGUCUUUACAAGUGAAAAGAGUAGUUUAUAACAUUGUAAAUGUGACCUCGACCUGGAAGCGAACUCGGCUGUCAUAAAUUGAUCAAAGCCACACUUAACUUCUACUACUACUUGCAUUGUUACCACCGUCUUCAGCCUUCUGCUUUGCCCAUUCAAAAAAAAAAAAAAAUUAUAUAACUUUUGUCAGCCAACAAUUAUAAUAAACUAAAAACAUGUCCAAAGAUUCAAAAAAAAAUUUUUCCCUUUUUUUGGUUUUAGCUCCUCUGACAUAUCAAAUCCUAUUGCCGUGAAAAGUUUCCCUUGCAGCGCAUAAUUUUGCCACAGCAUCUCUCAUCUCCAUUCGCUCAGUUGGAGACUCCAUUGAGCAGGAAACCCCAAUUCCAAUUACAGCAGACAAGCAUUGCUCAGUCCUGACUC
RNAcentral lists this long non-coding RNA (8361 nucleotides) under Citrus x clementina. RNAcentral's name for it is "Citrus clementina (C. clementina) long non-coding RNA (CCLE_LNC002738)". Lineage: Eukaryota; Viridiplantae; Streptophyta; Magnoliopsida; Sapindales; Rutaceae. The record is from RNAcentral.